Molecule: ribosomal RNA, 293 nt
Filed under: uncultured soil bacterium
Lineage: Bacteria
Description: partial 16S ribosomal RNA
Rfam family: Bacterial small subunit ribosomal RNA
Source: RNAcentral
AGAUUGAACGCUGGCGGCAGGCCUAACACAUGCAAGUCGAGCGGCAGCACGGGUACUUGUACCUGGUGGCGAGCGGCGGACGGGUGAGUAAUGCCUAGGAAUCUGCCUGGUAGUGGGGAUAACGCUCGGAAACGGCGCUAAUACCGCAUACGUCCUACGGGAGAAGCAGGGGACCUUCGGGCCUUACGCUAUCAGAUGAGCCUAGGUCGAUUAGCUAGGUUGGUAGAGGUAAUGGCUACGACCGAAGGCCGACGAUCCGUAACUGGUACUAGGAGAGGAUGACUCGAGUCCAC